UGACUCUCGACAACGGAUAUCUCGGCUCUCGCAUCGAUGAAGAACGUAGCGAAAUGCGAUACUUGGUGUGAAUUGCAGAAUCCCGUGAACCAUCGAGUCUUUGAACGCAAGUUGCGCCCGAAGCCAUCAGGCCGAGGGCACGCCUGCCUGGGUGUCACGCGUUGACUUGCCA
This 172-nucleotide ribosomal RNA is filed under the name Peucedanum angolense. Its description in RNAcentral is "5.8S ribosomal RNA". It matches the Rfam family "5.8S ribosomal RNA". From Rfam's summary of the family: 5.8S ribosomal RNA (5.8S rRNA) is a component of the large subunit of the eukaryotic ribosome. It is transcribed by RNA polymerase I as part of the 45S precursor that also contains 18S and 28S rRNA. Lineage: Eukaryota; Viridiplantae; Streptophyta; Magnoliopsida; Apiales; Apiaceae. The record is from RNAcentral.